GAUGAACGCUGGCGGCGUGCCUAAUACAUGCAAGUCGAGCGAACAGACGAGGAGCUUGCUCCUCUGACGUUAGCGGCGGACGGGUGAGUAACACGUGGAUAACCUACCUAUAAGACUGGGAUAACUUCGGGAAACCGGAGCUAAUACCGGAUAAUAUAUUGAACCGCAUGGUUCAAUAGUGAAAGACGGUUUUGCUGUCACUUAUAGAUGGAUCCGCGCCGCAUUAGCUAGUUGGUAAGGUAACGGCUUACCAAGGCAACGAUGCGUAGCCGACCUGAGAGGGUGAUCGGCCACACUGGAACUGAGACACGGUCCAGACUCCUACGGGAGGCAGCAGUAGGGAAUCUUCCGCAAUGGGCGAAAGACUGACGGAGCAACGCCGCGUGAGUGAUGAAGGUCUUAGGAUCGUAAAACUCUGUUAUUAGGGAAGAACAAAUGUGUAAGUAACUAUGCACGUCUUGACGGUACCUAAUCAGAAAGCCACGGCUAACUACGUG
This 497-nucleotide ribosomal RNA is filed under the name uncultured bacterium. RNAcentral's name for it is "partial 16S ribosomal RNA". It matches the Rfam family "Bacterial small subunit ribosomal RNA", at positions 28 to 507 of the family's 1533-position model. The record is from RNAcentral.